UAGGGAAUCUUCGGCAAUGGACGAAAGUCUGACCGAGCAACGCCGCGUGAGUGAAGAAGGUUUUCGGAUCGUAAAACUCUGUUGGUAGAGAAGAACGUUGGUGAGAGUGGAAAGCUCAUCAAGUGACGGUAACUACCCAGAAAGGGACGGCUAACUACGUGCCAGCAGCCGCGGUAAUACGUAGGUCCCGAGCGUUGUCCGGAUUUAUUGGGCGUAAAGCGAGCGCAGGUGGUUUAUUAAGUCUGGUGUAAAAGGCAGUGGCUCAACCAUUGUAUGCAUUGGAAACUGGUAGACUUGAGUGCAGGAGAGGAGAGUGGAAUUCCAUGUGUAGCGGUGAAAUGCGUAGAUAUAUGGAGGAACACCGUGGCGAAAGCGGCUCUCUGGCCUGUAACUGACACUGAGGCUCGAAAGCGUGGGGAGCAAACAGGAUUAGAUACCCUGGUAGUCCACGCCGUAAACGAUGAGUGCUAGAUGUAGGGAGCUAUAAGUUCUCUGUAUCGCAGCUAACGCAAUAAGCACUCCGCCUGGGGAGUACGACCGCAAGGUUGAAAC
This 552-nucleotide ribosomal RNA is filed under the name uncultured bacterium. RNAcentral's name for it is "partial 16S ribosomal RNA". It matches the Rfam family "Bacterial small subunit ribosomal RNA", at positions 355 to 900 of the family's 1533-position model. The record is from RNAcentral.